RNAcentral lists this small nuclear RNA (161 nucleotides) under Genlisea aurea. Its description in RNAcentral is "U1 spliceosomal RNA". It matches the Rfam family "U1 spliceosomal RNA". From Rfam's summary of the family: U1 is a small nuclear RNA (snRNA) component of the spliceosome (involved in pre-mRNA splicing). Its 5' end forms complementary base pairs with the 5' splice junction, thus defining the 5' donor site of an intron. Lineage: Eukaryota; Viridiplantae; Streptophyta; Magnoliopsida; Lamiales; Lentibulariaceae. The record is from Rfam by way of RNAcentral.
AUACUUACCUGGACGGGGUCGAUGGGCGAUCAAUAAGGCCCAUGGCCUGGAGUGGUGACCUUCAUUGCACUUGGAAGGGGUGCCAUUCUAUGGUCGGCCCAUGUGGUCGAGCCAACGUCAUAAUUUGUGUCAGUGGGGGCCUGCGUUCGCGCGGCCCCCUC